RNAcentral lists this ribosomal RNA (440 nucleotides) under uncultured bacterium. RNAcentral's name for it is "partial 16S ribosomal RNA". It matches the Rfam family "Bacterial small subunit ribosomal RNA", at positions 338 to 795 of the family's 1533-position model. The record is from RNAcentral.
CCUACGGGGGGCAGCAGUGGGGAAUAUUGCACAAUGGGGGAAACCCUGAUGCAGCGACGCCGCGUGAGUGAAGAAGUAUUUCGGUACGUAAAGCUCUAUCAGCAGGGAAGAAAAUGACGGUACCUGACUAAGAAGCCCCGGCUAACUACGUGCCAGCAGCCGCGGUAAUACGUAGGGGGCAAGCGUUAUCCGGAUUUACUGGGUGUAAAGGGAGCGUAGACGGCAGCGCAGGUCUGGAGUGAAAUCCCAUGGCUUAACCAUGGAACUGCUUUGGAAACUGUGCAGCUAGAGUGCAGGAGAGGUAAGCGGAAUGCCUAGUGUAGCGGUGAAAUGCGUAGAUAUUAGGAGGAACACCAGUGGCGAAGGCGGCUUACUGGACUGUAACUGACGUUGAGGCUCGAAAGCGUGGGGAGCAAACAGGAUUAGAUACCCUGGUAGUC